CCUACGGGAGGCAGCAGUGGAGAAUCUUGCCCAAUGGACGCAAGUCUGAGGCAGCCACGCCGCGUGCGGGAAGAAGGCUUUCGGGUCGUAAACCGCUUUCAGCAGGGAAGAAGCGAAAGUGACGGUACCUGCAGAAGAAGGACCGGCCAACUACGUGCCAGCAGCCGCGGUAAU
RNAcentral lists this ribosomal RNA (174 nucleotides) under uncultured Actinobacteridae bacterium. RNAcentral describes it as "partial 16S ribosomal RNA". It matches the Rfam family "Bacterial small subunit ribosomal RNA", at positions 338 to 524 of the family's 1533-position model. Lineage: Bacteria; Bacillati; Actinomycetota; Actinomycetes. The record is from RNAcentral.